GUGCUUGCUUUGGCAGCACAUGUGCCAAAAUCGGAACAAUACAGAGCCGGUUAGCAUGGCUCCUGCGCAAGGGCGACAUGCAUAUUCGUGAAGCUUCCGUAUUUUUG
This is a small nuclear RNA of Pteronotus mesoamericanus, 107 nucleotides long. The record is from RefSeq and is a predicted model, not a curated record. NCBI's taxonomy places the organism in Eukaryota, Metazoa, Chordata, Mammalia, Chiroptera, Mormoopidae.